This 304-nucleotide ribosomal RNA is filed under the name uncultured bacterium. Its description in RNAcentral is "partial 16S ribosomal RNA". It matches the Rfam family "Bacterial small subunit ribosomal RNA", at positions 509 to 807 of the family's 1533-position model. The record is from RNAcentral.
CAGCAGUCGCCGCGGGAAUACGAAGGGGGCUAGCGUUGCUCGGAAUUACUGGGCGUAAAGGGCGCGUAGGCGGACUGAUAAGUCAGGGGUGAAAUCCCAAGGCUCAACCUUGGAACUGCCUUUGAUACUGUUUGUCUUGAGUUCGAGAGAGGUAAGUGGAACUGCGAGUGUAGAGGUGAAAUUCGUAGAUAUUCGCAAGAACACCAGUGGCGAAGGCGGCUUACUGGCUCGAAACUGACGCUGAGGCGCGAAAGCGUGGGGAGCAAACAGGAUUAGAUACCCGCGUAGUCCCUGUCUCUUAUAC